GCGUACCAUUAGCUAGUAGGCGGGGUAAGAGCCCACCUAGGCUACGAUGGUUAGCGGGUCUGAGAGGAUGAUCCGCCACACUGGAACUGGAACACGGACCAGACUCCUACGGGAGGCAGCAGUGAGGAAUUUUGCGCAAUGGGGGCAACCCUGACGCAGCGACGCCGCGUGGGUGAUGAAGGCUUUCGAGUCGUAAAGCCCUGUCAAGUGGGAAGAAACGUUGACGUAUGAAUAGUGCGUCAAUUUGACGGUACCGCUAAAGGAAGCACCGGCUAACUCCGUGCCAGCAGCCGCGGUAAUACGGAGGGUGCAAGCGUUGUUCGGAAUUACUGGGCGUAAAGGGCGCGUAGGCGGCGCUGUAAGUCAGAUGUGAAAGUCCACGGCUCAACCGUGGAAGUGCAUCUGAUACUGCAGCGCUUGAGUAUCGGAGGGGAAAGUAGAAUUCCCGGUGUAGAGGUGAAAUUCGUAGAUAUCGGGAGGAAUACCGGUGGCGAAGGCGACUUUCUGGACGAAUACUGACGCUGAUGCGCGAAAGCGUGGGGAGCAAACAGGAUUAGAUACCCUGGUAGUCCACAGCUGUAAACGAUGUACACUAGAUGUUGGGGGUGUUGACCCCUCCAGUGUCGCAGCAAACGCAUUAA
RNAcentral lists this ribosomal RNA (641 nucleotides) under uncultured bacterium. RNAcentral describes it as "bacterial SSU rRNA". It matches the Rfam family "Bacterial small subunit ribosomal RNA", at positions 233 to 863 of the family's 1533-position model. The record is from RNAcentral.